Ailuropoda melanoleuca (giant panda) is the source of this 108-nucleotide small nucleolar RNA. NCBI's taxonomy places the organism in Eukaryota, Metazoa, Chordata, Mammalia, Carnivora, Ursidae. The record is from Ensembl.
AUCCUUUUGUAGUUCAUAAGCAUGAUAACUGGGUGUUCGUGCCAGUUUGUGACACAUGCCUCCCUCAAACCUUGUUACGACCUUAGCACCGAGGUUACCCGUCUGACG